GAUGAACGCUGGCGGCGUGCUUAACGCAUGCAAGUCGAACGGUGAACACGGAGCUUGCUCUGUGGGAUCAGUGGCGAACGGGUGAGUAACACGUGAGCAACCUGCCCCUGACUCUGGGAUAAGCGCUGGAAACGGCGUCUAAUACUGGAUAUGUGACGUGACCGCAUGGUCUGCGUUUGGAAAGAUUUUUCGGUUGGGGAUGGGCUCGCGGCCUAUCAGCUUGUUGGUGAGGUAAUGGCUCACCAAGGCGUCGACGGGUAGCCGGCCUGAGAGGGUGACCGGCCACACUGGGAUUGAGACACGGCCCAGACUCCUACGGGAGGCAGCAGUGGGGAAUAUUGCACAAUGGGCGAAAGCCUGAUGCAGCAACGCCGCGUGAGGGAUGACGGCCUUCGGGUUGUAAACCUUUUUUAGCAGGGAAGAAGCGAAAGUGACGGUACCUGCAGAAAAAGCGCCGGCUAACUACGUG
Molecule: ribosomal RNA, 469 nt
Filed under: uncultured bacterium
Lineage: Bacteria
Description: partial 16S ribosomal RNA
Rfam family: Bacterial small subunit ribosomal RNA
Source: RNAcentral